UACGUAGGGGCCAAGCGUUGUCCGGAAUUACUGGGCGUAAAGCGUGGGUAGGUGGUCGAUGAUGUGCCGCGUGAAAGCGCCGGAGUAAUGCCGGCGAGGUCGCGGUAGACACGUUGACUAGAGGCUCGCAGAGGAACGUGGAAUUCCCGGUGUAGUGGUGAAAUGCGUAGAUAUCGGGAGGAACACCAGUGGCGCAAGCGGCGUUCUGGGCGAGACCUGACACUGAGCCACGACGGCGUGGGGAGCAAAC
Molecule: ribosomal RNA, 250 nt
Filed under: uncultured Herpetosiphon sp.
Lineage: Bacteria; Bacillati; Chloroflexota; Chloroflexia; Herpetosiphonales; Herpetosiphonaceae
Description: partial 16S ribosomal RNA
Rfam family: Bacterial small subunit ribosomal RNA
Source: RNAcentral